This is a long non-coding RNA of Colius striatus (speckled mousebird), 629 nucleotides long. RefSeq lists it as uncharacterized. The record is from RefSeq and is a predicted model, not a curated record. Lineage: Eukaryota; Metazoa; Chordata; Aves; Coliiformes; Coliidae. The transcript is spliced from 3 exons.
CUAGCGAACCGACCUUGUAGCUCUGCCCGAGUUUGGCAGCGCUAAAUGCUCUGAGUGAAACAGAAACACGUUCACACCGCGUCGCGGAGAGUCGGCAGUGAAAGAGUCGGGUCUGGCUUUUUUGAGUGGCUCGAAGAAUGAAACGAGUAUAUUGCUAUUCUCAUGAUGGAAUAUGCGUCCAUAUGUAAGAAAGUAAAUGGACAGAAUUGCUUCUGUGGUUUUUUUUAAAGGUUCAAGAGUCAUACUAAAAAACAAGGAGGAGACUCUGCUGGAGGCCAGCACACACAUUCAAAAUCUGCCUGAGAAGGUUUUAUAUGGACAUGGCACUGAGGGGUAUGUGAAGAUGUGGACUGAGACUAUGACAGGCUCUGUGAAACUCUCUGUUCUCAUGUUGGUCAGAUGUCUGGUAAGGCAAAGAAUGUUUCUUAUGUUUCUUGUAACCUCCCAUAUUAAACUCUUUAAGGAACUACUAUUUUGCUGUCUUUUCUAACUGUGUAUUACUAAAUCUCCAAAGUGGGAAGGUAUAAUAAAAAUUGCAAGAGGGCAUUUUAUUGUAAAAAAAAAAAGUUAAAUCUCUACAAGAUACAAUAAUAAGCCAUGCUUUUGAAGUACGUACUGAACUAUAAAAA